GUGAUCCAAAAUUAUGUCAUACUGGGAUGUAUGCUAUUCUCUAUAUGCAACAUUGGGAUGGAAGUGGUCUUAAUAGAACCAUUAAUUCUGAACACAUGAGCCUUGAAAGAUUGAAAUUUGCAACUCAUAUGGUUCUUGAUAGCGAAAACGAAAUUGGUGAAAU
Molecule: long non-coding RNA, 163 nt
Organism: Vitis riparia (riverbank grape)
Lineage: Eukaryota; Viridiplantae; Streptophyta; Magnoliopsida; Vitales; Vitaceae
Exons: 3
Source: RefSeq, a predicted model, not a curated record